GCAACUCGCCUACAUGAAGUCGGAAUCGCUAGUAAUCGCGGAUCAGCACGCCGCGGUGAAUACGUUCCCGGGCCUUGUACACACCGCCCGUCACACCACGAGAGUUUGUAACACCCGAAGUCGGUAAGGUAACCUAUUAGGAGCCAGCCGCCUAAGGUGGGAUAGAUGAUUGGGGUGAAGUCGUAACAAGGUAGC
RNAcentral lists this ribosomal RNA (195 nucleotides) under uncultured bacterium. RNAcentral's name for it is "partial 16S ribosomal RNA". It matches the Rfam family "Bacterial small subunit ribosomal RNA", at positions 1307 to 1500 of the family's 1533-position model. The record is from RNAcentral.